RNAcentral lists this ribosomal RNA (1308 nucleotides) under metagenome. Its description in RNAcentral is "bacterial LSU rRNA". It matches the Rfam family "Bacterial large subunit ribosomal RNA", at positions 1605 to 2925 of the family's 2925-position model. The record is from RNAcentral.
AAGAAAAGAAAAGCUUCUAGUGAGAAAGUAACUGCCCGUACCGCAAACCGACACAGGUAGUUGAGGAGAGAAUCCUAAGGUGUGCGAGAGAACUCUCGUUAAGGAACUCGGCAAAAUGACCCCGUAACUUCGGGAGAAGGGGUGCUGACCGCAAGGUCAGCCGCAGUGAAUAGGCCCAAGCGACUGUUUAUCAAAAACACAGGUCUCUGCAAAAUCGAAAGAUGACGUAUAGGGGCUGACGCCUGCCCGGUGCUGGAAGGUUAAGAGGAGAGGUUAGCGCAAGCGAAGCUUUGAAUUGAAGCCCCAGUAAACGGCGGCCGUAACAAUAACGGUCCUAAGGUAGCGAAAUUCCUUGUCGGGUAAGUUCCGACCCGCACGAAAGGCGUAACGAUUUGGGCACUGUCUCAACGAGAGACUCGGUGAAAUUAUAGUACCAGUGAAGAUGCUGGUUACCCGCGACAGGACGGAAAGACCCCAUGGAGCUUUACUGCAGUUUGAUAUUGCGUGUUUGUAUCACAUGUACAGGAUAGGUAGGAGCCGAAGAUACCGGGACGCCAGUCUCGGAGGAGGCAACGGUGGGAUACUACCCUUGUGAUAUGACCACUCUAACCCGCUGCUCUUAGCGAGCAGGGAGACAGUGUCAGACGGGCAGUUUGACUGGGGCGGUCGCCUCCAAAAAUGUAACGGAGGCGCCCAAAGGUUCCCUCAGAAUGGUUGGAAAUCAUUCGUAGAGUGUAAAGGCAGAAGGGAGCUUGACUGCGAGACCUACAAGUCGAGCAGGGACGAAAGUCGGGCUUAGUGAUCCGGUGGUUCCGCAUGGAAGGGCCAUCGCUCAACGGAUAAAAGCUACCCUGGGGAUAACAGGCUUAUCUCCCCCAAGAGUUCACAUCGACGGGGAGGUUUGGCACCUCGAUGUCGGCUCAUCGCAUCCUGGGGCUGUAGUCGGUCCCAAGGGUUGGGCUGUUCGCCCAUUAAAGCGGUACGCGAGCUGGGUUCAGAACGUCGUGAGACAGUUCGGUCCCUAUCCGUCGCGGGCGUUGGAAAUUUGAGAGGAGCUGUCCUUAGUACGAGAGGACCGGGAUGGCCACACCGCUGGUGUACCAGUUGUUCUGCCAAGAGCAUCGCUGGGUAGCUAUGUGUGGACGGGAUAAACGCUGAAAGCAUCUAAGCGUGAAGCCCCCCUCAAGAUGAGAUUUCCCAUCACUUUAAGUGAGUAAGACCCCUGAGAGAUGAUCAGGUAGAUAGGUUGGGAGUGGAAGUACAGCGAUGUAUGGAGCGGACCAAUACUAAUCGGUCGAGGACUUAAUC